UACGGAGGGUGCAAGCGUUGUUCGGAAUUACUGGGCGUAAAGAGCGCGUAGGCGGUUUUAUAAGUCAGACGUGAAAGCCCUGGGCUUAACCCAGGAUGUGCGUUUGAAACUGUGGAGCUAGAGUAUCAGAGAGGUGAGUGGAAUUCCUAGUGUAGAGGUGAAAUUCGUAGAUAUUAGGAGGAACAUCAGUGGCGAAGGCGGCUCACUGGCUGGUAACUGACGCUGAGGCGCGAAAGCGUGGGGAGCAAACAGG
This 253-nucleotide ribosomal RNA is filed under the name uncultured bacterium. RNAcentral's name for it is "partial 16S ribosomal RNA". It matches the Rfam family "Bacterial small subunit ribosomal RNA", at positions 524 to 776 of the family's 1533-position model. The record is from RNAcentral.